Molecule: ribosomal RNA, 254 nt
Filed under: uncultured bacterium
Lineage: Bacteria
Description: partial 16S ribosomal RNA
Rfam family: Bacterial small subunit ribosomal RNA
Source: RNAcentral
UACGAAGGGGGCUAGCGUUGUUCGGAAUUACUGGGCGUAAAGCGCGCGCAGGCGGUUCUCCAAGUCAGUGGUGAAAGCCCGGGGCUCAACUCCGGAACUGCCAUUGAAACUGUUGAACUUGAGGACGAGAGAGGUGAGUGGAAUUCCCAGUGUAGAGGUGAAAUUCGUAGAUAUUGGGAAGAACACCGGUGGCGAAGGCGGCUACACUGGCUCGUAUCUGACGCUCAGGCGCGAUAGCGUGGGGAUCAAACAGG